GGAAAUGUCAAGUUUAAACUCUGGUUCCUUCAACAGCUUUACAGUCCUUUCCAUUCCUCCCAUCUGCUCCUGACACAUUUUAUGGAAAUAAAUGAAGUAUGAACAGCACGUGCCCCCAGUGGCUGGGGGGACAUGGCAGCAACAGGAACAGGGCAGUGUCUUUCAGAAUACUUAAUCUGCCCUCACAACAGCUGUUUAGUAUUUGUGGAAAUAUCUCAAGCCCUAGGAUCUGCACUGGAAGCUUUGGCAUCACCAUCCAAAAGCAAUGCAAGAUGCUGGGCUGCGUUCUGGUCAGUCUGCAUGUUCGCAGCGAGUGAGAUCUCGGAAUGGCGUGUGCUCAUUGAGCCUUGCUUCAGUUCCAUGGCAGAUGCCAUGCUUGGCACAGGAAGUACCAGCCAUGCAAGCAAAGCCAAGCUCUCUAGGAAAACUCUUAAAGAAACAUCCUGCAGGUUAAAGAGACCCUGUCAAUAAUGGCUGCUUCUCCCAACUGGUACAACCACAAAAGACACCAAACCAGUCCUUGCUCCUAAGUAUGCCCAGAAUAAACCAAGAUCUAACAUUACA
RNAcentral lists this long non-coding RNA (564 nucleotides) under Crocodylus porosus (Australian saltwater crocodile). Its description in RNAcentral is "lncRNA (ENSCPRG00005000986.1)". Lineage: Eukaryota; Metazoa; Chordata; Crocodylia; Crocodylidae. The record is from RNAcentral.